Dermacentor andersoni is the source of this 3523-nucleotide long non-coding RNA. RefSeq lists it as uncharacterized. The record is from RefSeq and is a predicted model, not a curated record. Lineage: Eukaryota; Metazoa; Arthropoda; Arachnida; Ixodida; Ixodidae.
AUACCAGCAUAAACUACAGAGUAAAUAAGAUGUUCAGAGUUCAACUUCUGGAAUUUAAUGCAACAAACACAUAUACAUCCCCAUCAAAGCUGCUGUCGGUACUUUUGAUGCAAUGAUUUUCACUUGGGGACAUAUUCUCGGAUGAACACUUAUGGCGAUAAUACUGCCUUUGCAUGACGCAUUCCUCGACCAGCCAAAAGGCACUGGAUAGCACCAUGAUAUUGUCGAAAGCUAUCAUCAGAGAAUGAAUCCGUUGUUCAGAGUAGAUCUGCCUAAGAUUUUAUUGCAAUAUAGGAGUCGGGUACCAUCAAAGUUUCAUAAUAAAAUGCUAUAUGUUUGUGCACGCAAUAAAAUAAUCUGGCAAUGCGAUUAUAGCACAUUGGAAACACUUCAAACAAGGACGAGUUGGCAAAGUUUAUUGCAGGCAGUUUGAUCAGUGACAAAUUAUGCAUGCACUUUGUCACAUCCUAAUAAUAUUGCUUUGCAUCAGAGAUAUCAGUCAGAGGUAGUAAUGGGCGAACUUGAACCUGCAUAUUUUCCUAAUAGCCAAGUGCGUCAACCACAAUACUGUCAAAUACAAAUCUGCUAAGAGCAUGUUAGUGCCUGUUUAUGUCAAAUUGUAGAAGGUAGGCAUGAGAUUGGCCAUGCAUGCCCACAUAUAAAAAUAAAAAGCACAACCACAAAACAGUGUAAUAGGUUGGUGAACAGAUAGCCAAAAUAGCAGUCAAAAUCCAUCGCACUUUGUCACAAAUAAAUAAGAAAAUGUGGUAAUAACAAUAACAAUCCCUAAAAAUGUCAUGUGAUCAAUUGUGGUCAUGAUCACAGUUACUGCUGUGAAAAAUUAUUUGCACUAAGUGUUCACAACUUGCUAAGAGAGCUUGACCUAGUAAAAAAUCCUCAUAUGUGCACAGCAGUGGCAAAAAACGAGAUGAGCGUCGCAACUUGGUGACCAUUAUCUGCCUACAUACUACACAAAACUGAAUUUAAAUUUAAAGGAGAAAUGACAAAGCAGUUCGUGUGCCAAUGAUGGUUAAGCGCACUGCAAUGCCUUGCCAUGUGUUGAAAGCUGACCUCCAAGCAACCAAAAUGUAAGUGACCCUACACUGAAGCAGGGUCUUUAAAUGACGAACGUGUAUCACAUCCUGACAUUCGCGGACGCAGUCACCAAAUGAAAAACACCUUUGCAAAUCGCAAUAACGACGAAUGUCAAGCGCGCGCACACAGACAGAAUGCGAGCAGUUUCCGAAAGCGCUCACGAAAGACUGUACGGACGUUCCUACGCGUUCGACGCAUAUCAGAAGCGCGCGCGUGCGCGCACACGCACACACACAAGCACAAAAGGCGAGCAGUUUCCGAAAGCACUCGCCUUACAAGAAAGCAAAUCCCGCCGGCGUGGCACCAUUUCCCGAAGCACAAACAACACCACAGUACACAUCCGUAGAACGGCGCACAACAAGCCUGAACAAAGUGUACACCACUCGACGCCAAAUCUGUCGUCGAUUACGCCGCUGAGAAUCACGAACACUUUCUAACAUUCACAAACCAAACGACGAUGUGCUGCGAACUUCAAACAGAUUUUACGGCCCUGUCCGGUUGAUAGGGCUGCUCCACAGGUUGUCCUCGCUGUUGAAAGCAAUGUCACCAAAGUUGUUGAAAAAGGUCGCCUAAAACACGCAAGAACAUUGAAAUAAUACGCCUGUACUACCCACGCUACCGAUGCGAUCACGGUUACCGGAACCACAGACGGCGAAGUAAACAAAAGACGUCAUUUCCCCUCAUUUCGGACCGAGACCUAUAAUUACUUUCUCAGUUGCACGACUCUUCCUUUCGAGCAAGGCGCGACUUGUUCCUGGGACUGUGAGGGCGCUGCGGUCGAGCUCUGCACCAAGUGAGCGGUGCUGCUCUGCUGACAUGUGCAGGUUAGUUGCGGGUGUUUGCGCUUCUUGUGCUGUAGCCGAUUUUAUUUUCUCACUGCGUGUGCCUUGUCACUGUCCUCGUGCACGUGGCUGGCGGUCGAGGUCUUUUGCGUCCGGUUCAAGUUUUGCGCUCACGGAGACGCCAGUACCGGCGAAGUGUGGGUCACCGAGCGUUAACAUUGCGUGCGCACUUUGGUUUGUAGGCCCACUUUUUUUUCAUCUCAUUCCUUUCUUCGGACCUGCACCCCCAUGUAUGGUGUCUGUAAAAUAUUAUACUUCAGCUUAAACAACAACAGAAAGAAAUAACGGCUGCUUUAUUCAGCGAGCACCAUGUAAAUGCCGAGUGCCGCGACAAGCACCUAUAACCGUGCCAGGCUAUAGCAGACGAUGCUUGGACGCUCGGCGCGGAGGUCGAUGGCAGCGCUGCGGUGGCGUGAACGGUAGCGGGCUAAAUGGUGCGCAUAGGCUAGGAGUUGGGGUACUUAAAGAGGAUCUAUAAACGUUGUUGCGGCGGCCCGGUGGUCACGGGCGGUCGAUGUGGUACUGAUCGUUUGAUCAUAUUUACGCGGUGCGUAGAGAACAUGUGCUCCUUUUUUGUGUGAAUUAACGAUCACUAAGCCCUGGGUCCUGUGCAAUGCUAUUAGCUCGCUGUAUGUUUCUUGCGGUGCGCCGUUGUUGAUUAUCGUAGUGCGGUCCACACGCGCUUCCUUUGUGCCCGGCUCAUGAGAAGUGUUGUACUCUCGCCGCUCCCGCAUCGGCUCACAGUGCACGGAAGAAUGUGUUGAUAGUUGUGCUAUCGCGUGCUGUAGUUCACCGCAAUUCAACACUACGCUGGACGGACUGUUGGUGCAGUCGAUGCGGCGUGAACGGACACGAAGGAGCGCUCGCCUCAGAAGGGAUGUCACAAUUUCCUGAGACGGAGGCAUCUCUGCACCACAAAGGAGACUGCGGCACUAUGCAGCCAGAACAGCACGACAAAGCAUCUGAUCUGCCUGCUUUGACAAGAUGUGGCUGGGCCUGCAGAAAGAGUGUAAGCACACUACUGUGUUGCUGAUCAGUGCUUGUGCUGAUCUCUACGUCUGAGUUGGCCUCAGAACGUCCAGGCGCCACUGUGCUUUGCUUCAUUGACAAGGUGUGGCUGGGCCUGCAGAAAAGCUGUAAGCAGACUGCAGUGUUGCUGAUCAGUGCUGAUCUCCACGUCCGAGUUGGUCCCACAAUAUCCAGGCACCACGGUGCUUUCACAAGGUUCACAAUCCAAAUGGGUUAUUUAUUUGUGCUAGCAAGUGGAUGUGGGUAAACCAAGCCAAAACGGACAGCACGUUUGCCAGGGAGAUUGCCCAAUGCUUGUGGCAGGCACAUGAAUUAAUCCACAGGAGUGUUACGAGCAAAAUAUGUAUGCGAAAGCUAAAGGAAGGUGGUGAGGCCAAGCCAGCGUUGACACCACAAAAACUUGGUGCAUAUCUAAAGGCAUACGAGCACUUUGUUUCAAAAACGCCAAGCACCGUGGAUACAAAGGCAAGGAGGCUGAAGGACCUGAACAAGCACCUGGCCACCAUGCUUCGGGAUGCAAAAUAAAGAUGGUUUGUGUUAAUUGCGGGCCCUAAAAA